GGACCGCUGUUCUAGGCCAUGCCGGGGGCAGGAGAAGGCGGGCAGCGCAUGAUUCCAGCUGGAUCUCUGGGAAUGUAGGCCACUCCCAGCUUUAGAGUGAGCUAGUGAGGGAGGCACCCAAAGGAAGAUGGAAACUUGGACCUCAGAAUGCAUUUGCAUCUAUGAAGUCUGUUCCUCUGCUGGUCACACUCCCUGACAAGUAGCAAGAGCCCUCUGUGGAUGGACCCAUUCAAAGCCCCCGUUUUGCACCUGCGGUGGAUCCCUGCAGUUAAGAUUUAGAUGGCCUGGUCUACGAACUCAGUUGAAGAUGUGCUAUCGAUGGCACCCUGAGGACUCUCUGGAAGAGCAGAGUUUUGAGCUUACCAAUUUUGGGAGGCAGCAUAGAGGGCAGUCAUAAUCCCAGCUUCAGAGAGAACUGGAACUCCGUUUACCAGCUGAAUGACUUUGGACAAGUUACUUAGCUGCUCUGAGACUCGGUUUCUCAAUUUAUAAGAGUAGGGGCAGUAAUACCUGUGCCUUGUGAGAGUGUUGUAAGGAUUAGAAGAGAUCAUGUAUAUAAAGAGUUUAGCAUCACUCCUGGCUAACAGAACUAGUUCUAAUAAACAGAAGCUCUUACAGUA
Molecule: long non-coding RNA, 620 nt
Organism: Pteropus alecto (black flying fox)
Lineage: Eukaryota; Metazoa; Chordata; Mammalia; Chiroptera; Pteropodidae
Exons: 2
Source: RefSeq, a predicted model, not a curated record